CACGUAGGGGACGAGCGUUGUCCGGAUUCAUUGGGCGUAAAGCGCGCGUAGGCGGCUCGGAAAGUCGGUCGUGAAAUGCCGGGGCUCAACCCCGGGACUGCGUCCGAUACUCCCGAGCUGGAGGCAGGUAGGGGAGAUCGGAAUUCCUGGUGUAGCGGUGAAAUGCGCAGAUAUCAGGAGGAACACCGGUGGCGAAGGCGGGUCUCUGGGCCGAUAUUGACGCUGAGGAGCGAAAGCGUGGGGAGCGAACAGG
Molecule: ribosomal RNA, 253 nt
Filed under: uncultured bacterium
Lineage: Bacteria
Description: partial 16S ribosomal RNA
Rfam family: Bacterial small subunit ribosomal RNA
Source: RNAcentral